Long non-coding RNA from Aedes albopictus (Asian tiger mosquito), 1124 nucleotides. RefSeq lists it as uncharacterized. The record is from RefSeq and is a predicted model, not a curated record. NCBI's taxonomy places the organism in Eukaryota, Metazoa, Arthropoda, Insecta, Diptera, Culicidae. The transcript has 2 exons.
AAGUAUACUGAGUAGUGAAUGUAAUUGAACGUGGAGAGCAUUAAAAAACGCCCUCUAUGCUACUAAUUCUGCUCAGUUAAUCAUGGAAUUUUUUCAGCCUAUUUUGUUUCGACCUUAGGGAGCAUCCAUUAAUCUUUCUGGACGCGCGCCAUGAUCCUGAAGCUGCACCGAGCUCGCGCCGUAUUCGACGAGCGAGCUUUUUUGGUGGUGUUAUACUUUUUCCAACGGCGCGCCUCCUGAAGGGUUAAGUACGUCACGCUAAAAUUGGAAAUUUUCAACCCUCCCUGCCUCCUCUAAACGUGACGAUAUACUCUACGGAUGACCACUUAUGUAAUGGAUUUCAUUUCAUUACUUAAAACAAAAUAAAGUUUUGAAUAUAACUAAAUUAUACCUAAAGUUGUUAUCAUAUCUGCCUAUGAUAUAAUUGUGAUCGAUUAAAAUAAGAUCUCCAUCGACAAAUCAAGUCUAUUAUGUGUCAACGAGCUCUAUGUGAUGUUAUACUACCCCUCUCGUGUACGUCUGACACACUGUGAAUCCGUCAUUACUCUUUAAGGAGUUAAAAGUACCCUUUUUUUGCUGCUGUAUGAAGCUGUCAAAAUAAAGGGUAAUGUCAAAUUUUUAAAAGAGGGUAAUUUAUGCCCAUUUGCCGGUUCAAAGUGUUUACUCUUUUAAGGGUGAAAAAUCACUUCAUUUACUGAUAGUUUAGGCAUCAAUUUGUUUUCUGUCGGAGCUCAAAUUAAACUUCCAAGUGAAAAUUCAAAUAGAAGUUCAUCAUAAUAAUUAAUUUCUUAUUUAUUAUAAUUCUUGUGAUAUGAACUCUGAAUUUCCCCCCUGUGUGCUUGAAUUCGGGCUUAAAAGAGCGGUGCUUCGACUCAUAAAAGCUAAAAGUAGCCAGGUGAUUACCUCGAAGUCCUGUUUCGUUCCGGAAGCUCCAAUUCUUUCUCCAGAACCCGUAAAAAACGGUGUCAUCAUCCGGCAAAGGAUUUUGAGGGCAUCAUUUAAGCCAACUUCAACGAACUCGAAUGCAUUCCCGAUAAAUGAUUUAUAUAUGUAUGUGUUAUAUUUUAUAUUAUAUUUUUAUAAAGAAUCAUAAUAAAAGCAAUAUUUUUGUAAGUAGUCAGGAA